AACGAACGCUGGCGGCAUGCCUAACACAUGCAAGUCGAACGAGACCUUCGGGUCUAGUGGCGCACGGGUGCGUAACGCGUGGGAACCUGCCCUUAGGUUCGGAAUAACUCCCCGAAAGGGGUGCUAAUACCGGAUAAUGUCUUCGGACCAAAGAUUUAUCGCCUUUGGAUGGGCCCGCGUUGGAUUCGCUAGUUGGUAGGGUAAAAGCCUACCAAGGCGAGGAUCCAUAGCUGGUCUGAGAGGAUGAUCAGCCACACUGGGACUGAGACACGGCCCAGACUCCUACGGGAGGCAGCAGUGGGGAAUAUUGGACAAUGGGCGAAAGCCUGAUCCAGCAAUGCCGCGUGAGUGAUGAAGGCCUUAGGGUUGUAAAGCUCUUUUACCCGGGAUGAUAAUGACAGUACCGGGAGAAUAAGCUCCGGCUAACUCCGUG
Molecule: ribosomal RNA, 433 nt
Filed under: uncultured bacterium
Lineage: Bacteria
Description: partial 16S ribosomal RNA
Rfam family: Bacterial small subunit ribosomal RNA
Source: RNAcentral